This 2248-nucleotide long non-coding RNA is filed under the name Olea europaea (common olive). RNAcentral's name for it is "long non-coding RNA (OEUR_LNC002060)". The record is from RNAcentral. Lineage: Eukaryota; Viridiplantae; Streptophyta; Magnoliopsida; Lamiales; Oleaceae.
UGCACUACCUUCAAAGAGUAAAAUGAAUUUUAACUGGUACCGAACCCAAUUCUUAAAUGGUCUGAAACAACAAAAUCAACCAGCAAAAGUCAGUCAGGCAACAUUCGACUAACGAAGACACUAAUGCCCAUGCAGUGUUUGGGAACUGUUUCAGAAUCUACUUAUACAGAGAUGGAGGACUUUAUCGACAGAAAAUUCAUGUUUAAUUCUUUCGGGAGACUAUAUGCAAUUGUGUUGCCUUCAUCAAAAAGCUAAGAAGCUUGUAACAUUUUGGCAUAUGAAGUACCAAUCUUUAAAUAGAGCUUCCCAUUAGAAUUGCUACCACACAUCCCAGCAAAGCACCAGCAGCAACCUGCAGUUUAUUAGUCAAACUAUUAUCAGGCAACAAACUGGGUAAAGGGAAGAAAGAUAUAUAAGUUUCAAUUAAACUCUACCAUCAAUUAGUUGGCAAUUCAUGUCUCAACGCAUCUAAAUAAUACCUGAGGCGCCAAUGAAAACGCCACCUAACAAGACCAGAGAGAGAGAGGAGAGAGGAGAUUCACAGGGAGAAGGGGGGUGUGGUUGCUUUGAGUCUUUGACCACAGAAAGUAAACUUAUAUCUAGUGCGCAAUUCACCUUAGACAUGAGGUUAUUGAGCAUUUGACCUAUAAAACUACACACCAGAUUUACUUUACCUGACCUCAUGAAAAAGGCAGAUGGUAUUGUGUGUAGGAGACUGGGAGUUAAUUCACCAAUUGGAUAACAAGUGAAUAAGCUUGAAUAUGGACAACAUAGUGACUAGAGCACAUGGAGAGUUCAACGUUACUGACAACCUCUACAGUUAGUAGACCAAAUCCAGCUAGCUAAGGCAUGCAUCCAAUGCUCCAGUCUCAUAGAUUCUCUCAAGCCAGGACACUUCAUACUCUCAGUGAUCACUUCAAUAGUGACAGAUGAUUUGCAUGUUAAGUCAGUCCAGUACCUCUCUAUUAACAAGAAAAUGCACAUUUGUAACCUUUUAUUCUCUUCAUCUCCAUCUAUACCGAAUGGAAAUGGGACUUUACAAGACAAAAGUUGUAUGGGAAAAAAAAGAUCAUAGAGCUCUACUCAAAGACAUGGAGACAGGUUACCCAGAAUCCUUCACCAGGGCAGCCAAUAUUCUGUCCAUCUCCUGCCUAUUAUCAUACUAUCUAUCUAUAUAUUCAAACAUAUUCUAGACCAAGUACACUAUUCCGACGAAGCGCCCAACUCUAUUUAUUUGCUAAAUCUAUUUGUUCACGUCAAUGGAAAAAAAGGAAGAACCAUCUAAAACUCAAAAAGUUCUAAUUACAUGAUUUCUUAUGAUGUUAGUCCGUACCAGUAUCCACAAAAGUAAUUAACUUACAAAAAUGAUACGGGAUAUAUUGGCAAAAUUGAUGUGAACUAACGUAGCAAUAAUAGCUAUGAAACCCACAAAAGAUUUAAUCAACACAAGAAAGCCAAGAAAUCAAAGUUUAGAAUUUGAUUCAAAAAUAUUGAACCAAAGAACCAACAGAAUCGCCAACAAUAUGCUGACCACGUAAUCACAAGAUUUAGGAAUCUCAUCUAGAUUGUUUGAACGCCAGAAGAAAUAAUUCUUGAUAAGCUCGUAAAAUUAAUUCAAUGAAGAACAAGGAAUCAAAGCAAAAAUUGCUCACAAAAUAACCUCUCAAUUUAAUGUAUGGAUGAAAGAUGUUCUACAAUGAAAAUAAUAACUUCUAUUUAGAAGGAACCCAUAAAACCCCAGUUGAAACGAAAUUAAGGUCUAAACAUACUAAAAGUUACCAUAAAAUAAUCUUAACACAAAUAAAAGAUUUCGUGAAAAUUGAAAAAAUCACACACGAUUUUAAUCUACGCGGCCGCAUAGUUAUAUCCUAUGCGGUCGCAUUGGUCACUUGAAUCCCUAUGCUCCACUCGUUGCUUGGUCACAUGCGACCGCAUGGUUCAUAUAACUAUGCAGUCACGUUUGAUUUAACGCGUCUCUUUUCUCGAGCCCAACACGAAGCUUGUUCCUUUGCUCACCAUGGAUGAAACAACAAGCAAUAUCAUUGCUUCUUUAAUCCUCUUUGCUUGCGACCUAGUUAUAGGACAAAAGUGAUUUUGAAAAAAAAUAAAAUAAAAGUAAAACAAGGGCUAUAUCUUCCAACUUUUUCUCUAAAGUAACCAAUGCAGGAUUGCAAAAGGGAAAGUCAGUAGCUUAAACUCCAAGGAAACAUACUAAAACUUAAUUUUAAAUUUUGAAAGUUUGAUUAUU